GCGGAUAUGGUGGAACUGGUAGACACGCAAGACUUAAAAUCUUGUUUCCGUAUGGAAGUGGGGGUUCGAUUCCCCCUAUCCGCACCA
This 87-nucleotide transfer RNA is filed under the name Alphaproteobacteria bacterium. Its description in RNAcentral is "tRNA-Leu". It matches the Rfam family "tRNA". From Rfam's summary of the family: Transfer RNA (tRNA) molecules are approximately 80 nucleotides in length. Their secondary structure includes four short double-helical elements and three loops (D, anti-codon, and T loops). Lineage: Bacteria; Pseudomonadati; Pseudomonadota; Alphaproteobacteria. The record is from RNAcentral.